Molecule: transfer RNA, 65 nt
Filed under: Planorbis carinatus
Lineage: Eukaryota; Metazoa; Mollusca; Gastropoda; Planorbidae
Description: tRNA-Ile
Source: RNAcentral
AAACAACCGCCGGUUGAACGGAGUUCAUUGAUGUUGAACAAUAUAUUAUUUUUUAAUGUUGUUUA